GGCGAACUGCAUCAUGGGUGAUUAAUGUGGCGUACUUGCUGAACUCCCUCACUCGAAAACUCAAAACUUAGCAACAGCAAGCGGCAAAAGAACGGGUUUGACAGAACUUACCUUUCCAGAAUCCAUGGCGGUGUCGGGUCAGCACAAGCAGAAAGGGUGAGGGAAGAGUUAAAAUCUUGCUCAGAUUGUUCAUGACAAAAGGAGAUCGUCUCAACCAGCCUCCCCCACUUCUCAUCAUUAUGUCCAUUUGGAAACAUGUCACUCCCGCCCGCUACCUCGACAAAAAAAAAAACAGGCUGUCACACGCCAUUAGCCGUUCGUCUGAGCUCGCCGGACCGUGCGGGCCGAGCCGGGUGAGGAUCACAGGAGCACUGCUGGACCCCCUGCGAUUUGCAUACCGAGCAAACAGGUCUGUGGAUGACGUAGUCAUAAACAGGACCGUACUUCCUCCUAGAACAACUUGAUGGCGUGGGGAACUAACCGAGGAUCCUGUUUGUGGACUUCAGUUCUGUGUUCCACACCAUGAUCAAUGACUCCUCUCCUUCAAGCUUCUGCAGCUCAGCAUCUCGCUUUGCAUUUGCCAAUGAAUUUAUCACUUUCUAAUGGGCAGGACACAGCACGUGAGACUGGGUGACACCACCUCAUACACGUGCACCAUCAGCACUGGAGCACCCCAAGGUUGUGUCCUCUGCCCACCGCUCUUGUUUCUCUACAGAAACAUCUACACUUUAACAGCUGUCAAACUCCUGAAGUUUGCAGAUAACACCACAAUCAUCACCCUCAUCAAAGUUAGGGGUGAGUCUGUAUCAACAGGAAGUGGAGCAUCUAGAGCUUUUGGUUUGGCUGACACAACCUGGAGCUCAACACCCUCAGGACUGUGAAGAUAAUUGUCGACUUCAGGAGACAUCCUUCACCACAGCUGCAGCUCAUCCUGUCCAACAGUCCCUUGUCAACUGUCGAGACCUUCAAGUACCUGGGAAUUCUCACUCUCUUGGGACCUGAAGUGGGAGACUAACAUCAACUCCAUCCUCAAAAACGCCCAGCAGAGGAUGUACUUCCUGUGCGCUUCUGAGGAAGUAGGGCCUGCCACAGGAGACAUUGACGCAGUUCUACGAACCAGUCAUGUGUUCAUCCAGUACAGUUUGCCUUGGUGCUGUAAAAAAAAAAAGGACAAAUUUCAACUGCAAUGAACAAUUAGGACUGCUGGUAAAAUUAUCAGUACCUGCCCUCUACCCAUCCUUGAGCAAAAUCCUCUUAGACCAUCCAUAUCCUGCUCACCCACUCAUGCAGCGCCUUCUCUCAGGCUCAUCUUUGCUCAUGAGGGCGUCCGUGGUGGACGUGUCUGAUGACGACUCGUCCCCUGUGAAUCCGUGACGAACGCCAGAUGAGCCAAGCCUUCAUACUACUGUGCCUUGGCUUCUCAACUGUCCCAGAGCUGCAA
Molecule: long non-coding RNA, 1441 nt
Organism: Syngnathoides biaculeatus (alligator pipefish)
Lineage: Eukaryota; Metazoa; Chordata; Actinopteri; Syngnathiformes; Syngnathidae
Exons: 4
Source: RefSeq, a predicted model, not a curated record